This is a non-coding RNA of Homo sapiens (human), 3445 nucleotides long. The record is from RefSeq and is a predicted model, not a curated record. Lineage: Eukaryota; Metazoa; Chordata; Mammalia; Primates; Hominidae.
AGCUGGUGUGUGUUUCCAGCCACUAGGCAACCCCAGGUCUUCAUCUGAGCACCCAGGGCCAGAAGUCUCACCCUGUCCCCCGUACCAUCCCUUCCCAGCCAGCCACAGUUUCCUUCCUUCUGUUGCCCACACAGUGCUCUCAGCCCCAGAUGCCCUUCCUGACACUUCCUCCCAAGGAAACCCAAGUCCUCCGUCAGGGUCCACCCAAAUGUCCACACCCUCUGGUAGCCUGCCCAGCCCCAGAGGCUCCCCUGAGCUCCCUUCCCCCAUUAGAGCCUACAGAGGCAGUGCUGCCCAGCAGACAUCUCGGCUGGGAGUCAAACAGAGCAAGGCUAUUUUGGUCCCUCUCUCCACUCUAUGUGACCCUGAAAUGUGCCCUGGCCUUAGGAAACAUUCAGCUACAUCAGAGAACGUGAGUAUGCAUGUGGUUUGUAUAACACAGGCAAGACAUGGUUUUUAGAUACGUUCAGAAUAGAUAGUUACAGAGAACAGGUAUGUUACAUGUGGGAAGGAAGAGACACAAGGGCCAAGAGAUACUUAAUAUGCAUGAGGCUCCUGGGCACUAAAUGUUCAAUUCACAAUGUGCCUUUAUACAAGAGACACCUAAACAUGCAGAACCAUGGGGCCUUUGUUCACCACCAUUCCUGGUGCCCAUUCUGGUCCCAUGCGUCCUCUGCCCAAGAAACACGUAGAACCCAUGGCAGUGCGACAGCUGCUUCUUGGCAACGCCACCAUGAUCAGGCACACUUGUCCCAUGUCUGUCCCGUUGAGCCGGUGUGUGUCAUAAGCCCUUCAGCUGUGAGCACUCUUGCCCAGACCUCGGCUCUGGUCCUCGUGGUCACACCUGAGUGGGUGAGGUUGACUAGCAGAGAAAGAAGAGAACUGAUGAAUGUUGACAGCACAGGAAUCAGGUCAUACGGCCCUCCCAUCUCCUUCCCUCAGCUUCUUGCUGUGUUUUAUGAAUGGAUUUUAUAAACCUGUGAUUCGAGCAUCCUCAGUUGCUUCUCGAGCCUUUCCGCUCCAUGAACUCUGGGACAGCUUGCCUGGUAAUGCAACUGGAGGACAUCAUUGCAUCCAGAGAGCUUCCCACAUGACAGUCUGUGAGCAAGGGACUUCGCCUCCCUGGAUGGUGGUUUUCUUUUAUGUAAAAGAUGUGAUCGUAGUCUCUAUUUCUCAAGGGUGCUGUGAGAAACACACAGAAUAAGGCCACGUGAAAGUGUGUGGCAGGUAGCGGAUGCUCAGUAACGUGAAGCCUGCCCUUCCCGUAGCCUUUCUCUUCCUCCACUAGGUCUAGACUUCACAUUGUCCCAUGGUUCAAGAUCCUUGGUUCAUCCCAAGUCUUAUCAUCAUCCCAGAAGGUUGGAGGGAGCUCCUGGGGAAAUCCAGCUUCACGGUCCCACACUGAUCACUUCCCCUGGGCAUGGCCUGGUAAAUGCAGCUCAGAUCCGCUCCCCAGGCAAGUCAAGGAAGUUGCUGCCCAGAAACCAAGUGAGGACAUUUACAAGAACCGGCGGCGGCGGCGGCAGCAGCAGCAGCAGCAGCAGCAGCAGCAGCAGCAGCAGCAGCAACUGGAUUUGCUUUUUCACCAGAGGAUCCAGAUUUCCCUGUGGCCUUGCAAACAAAAAAGAAGGAAGACGGAGCAGCACAGUCAUCCCUUUGUGAAAAAAGCAUUCAGGUAACUGAGUGACUCAGCAAGCCUGGGUCUUGGGGAAAUUACGAAUACCUGGUUGAAGGGCAGUCCUCAGGCAGAGCCCCUGAGACCCGUUGAACUCUAGAGUGUGGGAGCAGAGGAGAUUCAUGGCCUGCCCAGGGGCAGUGUCCACAGGGGCAGAGUGCCCCCAGGACUCGCCCUGGCUCAGUUAAGGACUCCCCUCAGGAACUGCAGAGGUGCAAGGCAGGGUGCAGCUCUGCCUGGACUGAGCUGGAAAUGCAGCCGUGUGGCUGAAGUGGCCACUUCCUGCUUUCUGUAAAGCAGCCACAGGGAACUGUGAACAGAUGCACACCUGUCCUGAAGACACCCGGUUCUCAUGCUCUUCUCUGCAGCACCUGAAUUGGGCAUUCCUGGGUAAAGCUGUUUAAGUUACUUUCACUUUUAUCCACUUGUUUCCGUUAUUUCAACCAUGCAUGUCCCUUGUGUAUGUAGGAUAAAGGUGUCUAAGAAUAAAGGUCCAUGAUUUAAAGUUUUUUCCUCUUCUUUCCCUGUCCUGACCACCUGAUCAUAAACUUGUAGAAAUAAAGUGGAUCUCAUGUUGUGUAUCUUUCGAUGCAUCUAGAGAGAUGGUUAUAUUCAUAUAAAUAAACGGGCACAUCCAGCACACUAUUUCUAGUUGUCGUCUGCUAAUAAGUUUACAUCUGGUAAAUGCCAGUGUUUCAUCAAAUGGCUGCAUUGCACAUGAGUCAAUCUGUGUGACAAAGAAUAUGGCAGGUUUUGUACAGCCUUUGUAAAGACAUUCUUCAAUGCUGCCUUUUAAAAUAGAAAUGUUAAAUCCUGUAACUAAUCAACCUAUGCCUUGUUAGAGGGCUGACAUUUUCAAUAAUUCCUUUACAAAGGGUAGUGAGAUGCAUCAGAUCCCCCAGUGGCCCCCAAGUAGGGACAGUGACAGUCAGCAGUUCUUUACGGACACCUGCUCCGUGGCAGGUUCUCCGCCGGCCCUGGCUGCGGGCGGCCCUCAUCUAACAAGAUGCUUCGGUCCAUGGGUGGAGGACAAAGGCCUAUGGGCUUGGGGAGCGAGUUCUUUCGUCUCCUACAUGACCUUCAUCUGCUCGCGUUUGCCAUGAAGCGCAUCUGGGUUGGAAGGAGAUGGUGGUUUCCCACGGAAGUCUGGUCCCUAAGUGACGCCUCUGCUGCCUACAUCAGAAUCUCCCAGGCUUGCUCCACAGUGGUCCCGUCACGUGGUGCAGACUCAGGCGCUGUCUUGUGUGUGCAGAGGCAGGCUUGGUCUUGUGUGCUCUUGAUCAUGCACCUAGUCACAUCUGUUCUACAGUGUUGCAUUCUUCUAAUUUCCAUGCACAUCUUUGCAUAGGCGUGUUCCCAUUGUUCCCAUGCCAAUAAGUGGUGUGCAAGGUUCCAGAGUGCGCCAGUAUUUCUUUAGUCGGUGUCAUGCUGUUGGAUAUUCAGGUUUUUUAACCUAGUGUAAAUAACAUUCACAUUUCUAAAAACCAGAAGAGUGUUUGUGAUUAAGAUAUCAUCUUAGUGGAUAUUAAAUUGCUGCAUCUGAUUUCAUUUCUCUUUCCCAAAUAGUCAGUUGUGUGGGCUAGUCUCAUUCUGAAACUGCACACUCCCAUCCCAGAGGUAGAAAGCGAGAUCUCCUGCCUGCAUUUCAUGGAGCAUGUGAUUAUGGAGGUGUCCAGUCCCAGCAAACAGACCCCACAUUCUUUUCCUUCAGUGACUCAGACGCAAUAUGUGGAGAGUCCCAGACAGUAUCGCUCCCUCAUGUUCAUUAAC